GUGCAGCAGUCGCGAAUCUUCCACAAUGGACGAAAGUCUGAUGGAGCGACGCCGCGUGCGGGAUGAAGGCCUUAUGGGUUGUAAACCGCUGUCAGGGGGGAAGAACAUCGGAAUGAACAAUACUCACUCCGACUGACGUUACCCCCAGAGGAAGCUCCGGCCAACUCCGUGCCAGCAGCCGCGGUAAUACGGGGGGAGCAAGCGUUGUCCGGAAUUAUUGGGCGUAAAGGGCGUGUAGGCGGCGAGGUAAGUCGAAUGUGAAAUCUCACGGCUCAACCGUGAAACUGCGUUCGAAAACUACCCUGCUUGAGUACGGGAGAGGUGUACGGAAUUCCUGGUGUAGCGGUGGAAUGCGUAGAUAUCAGGAAGAACACCGGUGGCGAAGGCGGUACACUGGCCCAGUACUGACGCUGAGGCGCGAAAGCGUGGGAGCAAACAGGAUUAGAUACCCGUGUAGU
Molecule: ribosomal RNA, 458 nt
Filed under: uncultured microorganism
Description: bacterial SSU rRNA
Rfam family: Bacterial small subunit ribosomal RNA
Source: RNAcentral